UUAGAAUUUAAAAUUAAACACCUAGUCAUAGUUUUAACUAAAUUAAAAUUGCCAGUACAAACCACUUUGGAUAUACCCAAACGUAGGAGGGAAGAAAAUGAUCUUGAUACACUCAUUUAUAUACCCAAAGACCAUAUAAAAUCACUACCUAGUACAAAUUUAGAUAUAUCAAGUAUUACAUUUAAUAAAAAUGAUGAUAGUCAACAAAAUGAACAUACCAAAUCACUAAUUAAUAUAGAAAAUCAAAAUUUUAAUGAUGAACUUGAUAUCAUAAGCAACAAUUUACCACCCACAUCAGAAAAUCAAAAUUUUAAUGAUGAACUUGAUACCAUAAGCAACAAUUUACCACCCACAUCAGAAAAUCAGAAUUUUAAUGAUGAACUUGAUACCAUAAGCAACAAUUUACCACUCACCUCAGAAAUACCUAGAUACUCUAUAAAAAAUUAUGAUAAAUC
This is a long non-coding RNA of Gordionus sp. m RMFG-2023, 455 nucleotides long. RefSeq lists it as uncharacterized. The record is from RefSeq and is a predicted model, not a curated record. The transcript has 6 exons. Lineage: Eukaryota; Metazoa; Nematomorpha; Gordioida; Chordodea; Parachordodidae.